This 497-nucleotide ribosomal RNA is filed under the name uncultured bacterium. RNAcentral describes it as "partial 16S ribosomal RNA". It matches the Rfam family "Bacterial small subunit ribosomal RNA", at positions 28 to 507 of the family's 1533-position model. The record is from RNAcentral.
GAUGAACGCUGGCGGCGUGCCUAGUACAUGCAAGUCGAGCGAACAGACGAGGAGCUUGCUCCUCUGACGUUAGCGGCGGACGGGUGAGUAACACGUGGAUAACCUACCUAUAAGACUGGGAUAACUUCGGGAAACCGGAGCUAAUACCGGAUAAUAUAUUGAACCGCAUGGUUCAAUAGUGAAAGACGGUUUUGCUGUCACUUAUAGAUGGAUCCGCGCCGCAUUAGCUAGUUGGUAAGGUAACGGCUUACCAAGGCAACGAUGCGUAGCCGACCUGAGAGGGUGAUCGGCCACACUGGAACUGAGACACGGUCCAGACUCCUACGGGAGGCAGCAGUAGGGAAUCUUCCGCAAUGGGCGAAAGCCUGACGGAGCAACGCCGCGUGAGUGAUGAAGGUCUUCGGAUCGUAAAACUCUGUUAUUAGGGAAGAACAAAUGUGUAAGUAACUAUGCACGUCUUGACGGUACCUAAUCAGAAAACCACGGCUAACUACGUG